Long non-coding RNA from Spinacia oleracea (spinach), 769 nucleotides. RefSeq lists it as uncharacterized. The transcript has 3 exons. The record is from RefSeq and is a predicted model, not a curated record. Lineage: Eukaryota; Viridiplantae; Streptophyta; Magnoliopsida; Caryophyllales; Amaranthaceae.
UCUUCACAGUUAAUCACUUCUUUGUCCUCCCUCUUCUUAAAUAUUACUACAAAAGAAAAUUGAAUUGGAGUGAUGGACUAUCAUUUACUAAGCUGAAAGUCUGAAAACCUCCCCUUCCCCCUCCCCCUCUUCUCCCAAUUUUUUUUUGGAAUAUAAAACAACACACCAUUCCGGGAAAUUCGGAGGCAGCAAUCCCAUUCCCCGUUCCGCUUCGACCCGCGUUCCGUGUAACACUGAUUGAGGGUGCUUAGAUCAACUUUUCUCCCAACUCUUGAGGAAAACCUUUGCAUCAAUAUGCACUCUCAUUAGAAUGGACUAAGCUGGUAGAUAGUUUGAUGGACGAAUCAUUUGUUCCUCAGAGUGCUUGUGAAGCUGUGUCAAAUCAGAAAUGGGGUCCAGUGAAACGUAAGAAACAUCUUGCUACAUUUGAAAUCACAGUGGAAGAAUUGAAUGAUUUAAACUAGAGGAGUGGAAAGCUAUUAAAUCUUGUAUUCCAGAGAGCAACACUACCUUGUCCAGUCCUUUGGAAAGCAGCUCGUCAAGGUAUUCAAUAAUCCGAGGGAGCCGCCUUUCAGCUUUGAGGCGAUAGAUGAAGUUUGAGAAAUGUUGGCAAACUUCAUUACUAGUGAAUGUUUUUUAUAUUUUCUUGUAUUGAAUCUUAAAUUAUGGAUUCUACUUAGUUUUCCAUAUGAUUGUAAUGUAAUCGAAUUUUAUAUUUACAAUUGUAUACUAUUUAAUUUAAUUAUCUAUAUAUUGGAUACUUUUUAUA